GACAAGCGGGUCAAGUUAAAUUUUAGUCGGUAAAAAAGGAAGUUAGGAGAUUUGUUUAAUUAGCAGAGAAAUAAUUUUUUUUGUAGAGGUGAAAUUCAAGCAAAAAUGGGUUGAUUAUUAGUCCUCUGAGUUUUGAUACUUCGAAAAUUGUUAAAGAGACCGGGAUUAGAUACCCCGUUAUUUUUAUUGUAAAAUUUGGAAACAUCCUACCUGGGUACUACGAAUUGGGUUGCUAGGCUGUAAAGCUAAAAUUGUGAUUAUGUGGCUCUUUUGUUUAAAACUCAAAAGACUUGGCGGUGCUUUAAUUCUUGCCAGGGGAACCUGUCCUGUAAUCGAUGAUCCACGAUUUAACUUACUUUUUCUUGAAUGUAAGUUAUUCUUAUAUCAGCUUGUAUAUCGUCGUCGUCUGAUCACCUUUAAGAGAUAAAAAGUUGUCGGGAGAAUAAAAUUUUUGCCUCGUUGUUUGUGUUUACUUACAGGGAUGUGAGAAUAAGUUUCAAAGUCAGAUCAAGAUGCAGUUUAUGGAAAAGGAGAGAUGGGUUACAGUAUAAAUUUAAUUUGGAGUCUGAAGUGUAAUUUUCAGAUGAAAUUGAACUUGGAAGUAAUAUAGAAAUUUAAAAAUUAGUUAUUGAUUUAUUAGAUUUUGUAAGUAGAUAGUCUAUGUGAAUGAAGUUCUAAAGUGCGU
Molecule: ribosomal RNA, 685 nt
Filed under: Stomatella sp. 1 JEU-2016
Lineage: Eukaryota; Metazoa; Mollusca; Gastropoda; Trochida; Trochidae
Description: partial 12S ribosomal RNA
Source: RNAcentral